RNAcentral lists this ribosomal RNA (319 nucleotides) under uncultured Actinomycetes bacterium. Its description in RNAcentral is "bacterial SSU rRNA". It matches the Rfam family "Bacterial small subunit ribosomal RNA", at positions 28 to 351 of the family's 1533-position model. Lineage: Bacteria; Bacillati; Actinomycetota; Actinomycetes. The record is from RNAcentral.
GACGAACGCUGGCGGCGUGCUUAACACAUGCAAGUCGAACGGAAAGGCCCUUCGGGGUACUCGAGUGGCGAACGGGUGAGUAACACGUGGGUGAUCUGCCCUGCACUUUGGGAUAAGCCUGGGAAACUGGGUCUAAUACCGAAUAGGACUACGGCCUGCAUGGGUUGUGGUGGAAAGCUUUUGCGGUGUGGGAUGGGCCCGCGGCCUAUCAGCUUGUUGGUGAGGUUACGGCUCACCAAGGCGACGACGGGUAGCCGGCCUGAGAGGGUGACCGGCCACACUGGGACUGAGAUACGGGCCAGACACCUACGGGAGGCAG